AGUGAACGUUGGCGGCGUGGAUUAGGCAUGCAAGUCGAGCGAGAACCGUAGCAAUACGGGGACAGCGGCGAACGGGACAGUAAUGUGUAGGUACCUACCCCUGGGUUCGGGAUAGCUGCGGGAAACUGCAGGUAAUACCGGAUAACGUCUGAGGACCAAAGGGGUGAUUCCACCUGGGGAGGGGCCUGCAUCCUAUUAGCUUGUUGGUGGGGUAACGGCUCACCAAGGCAACGAUGGGUAGCGGGUGUGAGAGCACGACCCGCGUCAUUGGGACUGAGAUACUGCCCAGACACCUACGGGUGGCUGCAGUCGAGGAUCUUCGGCAAUGGGGGCAACCCUGACCGAGCGACGCCGCGUGCGGGAUGAAGGCCUUCGGGUUGUAAACCACUGUCGUAGAGGAGGAAAUGCAGGGGGGUUCUCCCUUCUGUUUGACCUAUUCUAGGAGGAAGUACGGGCUAAGUUCGUGCCAGCAGCCGCCGUAA
RNAcentral lists this ribosomal RNA (482 nucleotides) under uncultured bacterium. RNAcentral's name for it is "partial 16S ribosomal RNA". It matches the Rfam family "Bacterial small subunit ribosomal RNA", at positions 28 to 523 of the family's 1533-position model. The record is from RNAcentral.